Molecule: ribosomal RNA, 308 nt
Filed under: uncultured eukaryote
Lineage: Eukaryota
Description: partial 18S ribosomal RNA
Rfam family: Eukaryotic small subunit ribosomal RNA
Source: RNAcentral
CCCCUAGAUGUCCUGGGCCGCACGCGCGCUACAAUGACUCACUCAGAAAGUUUUUCCUGAUCCGGAAGGAUUCGGGUAAUCUUCAUAGCAUGAGUCGUGUUAGGGAUCGAUCUUUGCAAUUAUAGAUCUUGAACGAGGAAUGCCUAGUAAGUGCAGCUCAUCAGGCUGUACUGAUUACGUCCCUGCCCUUUGUACACACCGCCCGUCGCUCCUACCGAUUGAGUGGUCCGGUGAACCUUCUGGAUUAAGCAGCAAUGCUUGAGAAGUUAGGUAAACCUUAUCACUUAGAGGAAGGAGAAGUCGUAACA